UAUGCAAUGAACUUAAAAUUCAUUUAUAAAGAAUAAUCUUUUUUUAGAA
This 49-nucleotide transfer RNA is filed under the name Sitobion akebiae. RNAcentral's name for it is "partial tRNA-Leu". The record is from RNAcentral. Lineage: Eukaryota; Metazoa; Arthropoda; Insecta; Hemiptera; Aphididae.